RNAcentral lists this ribosomal RNA (201 nucleotides) under uncultured bacterium. Its description in RNAcentral is "partial 16S ribosomal RNA". It matches the Rfam family "Bacterial small subunit ribosomal RNA", at positions 524 to 724 of the family's 1533-position model. The record is from RNAcentral.
UACGUAGGGUGCAAGCGUUAAUCGGAAUUACUGGGCGUAAAGCGUGCGCAGGCGGUUUUGUAAGUCUGUCGUGAAAGCCCCGGGCUCAACCUGGGAAUUGCAUUUGAAACUGGGGAACUAGAGUGAGUGAGAGGGGGGUAGAAUUCCAAGUGUAGCGGUGAAAUGCGUAGAGAUGUGGAGGAACACCGAUGGCGAAGGCAG